RNAcentral lists this unclassified non-coding RNA (333 nucleotides) under Hevea brasiliensis (rubber tree). The record is from RNAcentral. Lineage: Eukaryota; Viridiplantae; Streptophyta; Magnoliopsida; Malpighiales; Euphorbiaceae.
GGGCAAAUUACCGUCGACCAUGGGAGAUCCUCCAAUUCUAUCUCUCCUCGUUUCGCUAUUGUCGCUGGUUCCGAUUUCGCUGGCUUACAGUCCCGGAGACAUCGUUCCGAUGAGCAAGAUGGGACAGUAUCACUCGUCCAGAACAGUUUGGCACGAUAUGAUAGGUCGACAUUGUCCAAUUUUUGGCGUCAAUCGCGAGGUUUUGGUUCCUAUACCGAAACCGGUCGGCUACACAGGAGCUGAUCCGUAUAAAAUAUCCUUUCAAGUUGGAAAAGAGAAGUUUCUUGUCCCAUGGCUUCUUGUGAUAAAUCGCAAAAGUGCAGAAGUUCCAAU